CACCACUGCAAGAGGGGAAGUUGCUACUGUGAUGAAUUCUGCCAUGUGGUACCAGACUGCUACCCAGACCACAGUGUCCUCUGCAACCCUCGUAACUCACAUACAGGCCUGAUUCCACCUACAGCAAAGCUGGAUGCUAUGGUUGGCAGAGGCAAACCCUUUGCCUGCACUUCAGGCCAAAGCCGGGAUGUGGCCUAGAUGGUUCCUAAGCUUCUCAGAUGACCAAGAUGGUGCUGCAGAUGGUGCUGAGGAUGGAGAACCCACCAAGCCCCGCUAGGAGCCACCUAGACUGGAUGUAGAGCAUGGCCCAUCAGAAACUCAAAAGAAUGCUACCUUUGUCUCUCACCCACCUGUGACCUGGAAGCUUUCUCCUGGCUGCGAGUUGUCCCACGUUUGCUUGGCGUUGCCCGGCCUUUUCCAGACUGAACCAAUGUUCAUCUUACAUAUGUUGAUUGAUGUCUCAUGUCUCCCUAAAACGUAUGACCACCUUGGCACAUGUCAGGACAUCCUGAGGCU
RNAcentral lists this long non-coding RNA (516 nucleotides) under Pan troglodytes (chimpanzee). RNAcentral's name for it is "lincRNA". The record is from RNAcentral. Lineage: Eukaryota; Metazoa; Chordata; Mammalia; Primates; Hominidae.